RNAcentral lists this ribosomal RNA (460 nucleotides) under uncultured bacterium. RNAcentral describes it as "partial 16S ribosomal RNA". It matches the Rfam family "Bacterial small subunit ribosomal RNA", at positions 338 to 795 of the family's 1533-position model. The record is from RNAcentral.
CCUACGGGAGGCAGCAGUGAGGAAUAUUGGUCAAUGGACGAGAGUCUGAACCAGCCAAGUAGCGUGAAGGAUGACUGCCCUAUGGGUUGUAAACUUCUUUUAUAUGGGAAUAAAAUGUUCCACGUGUGGGAUUUUGUAUGUACCAUAUGAAUAAGGAUCGGCUAACUCCGUGCCAGCAGCCGCGGUAAUACGGAGGAUCCGAGCGUUAUCCGGAUUUUUUGGGUUUAAAGGGAGCGUAGGUGGAUUGUUAAGUCAGUUGUGAAAGUUUGCGGCUCAACCGUAAAAUUGCAGUUGAAACUGGCAGUCUUGAGUACAGUAGAGGUUGGCGGAAUUCGUGGUGUAGCGGUGAAAUGCUUAGAUAUCACGAAGAACUCCGAUUGCGAAGGCAGCUCACUGGACUGCAACUGACACUGAGGCUCGAAAGUGUGGGUAUCAAACAGGAUUAGAUACCCGAGUAGUC